ACAACAACUAGACAACCAAACUUCAAACCAAAGCCAUAUCAAAUCAACGCAGGACAAUGAGCUAGAAUACCAGACAAGACAUAAACACCAAGGACAAGGAAACGAGAAGAACAGCUGGGCAGAGUUCAUCACAGAGGGACCUGGACUGUUGGAGCUGGAGUUUGAGAGCUUUUGGAGGACUUCUGAAAAGGCUGUUAGCACAUCCGAAAGUAAGGUUUUAUCUCUUUUUAUCACUUUCUCUUGAAUGCCAGCCAUUUAAUUAUUAUUUCUUUAAAAAUAUGUUUGCUCAAGUUUUAAAGGGAUAAUUGGCAUCAUGACAAGGAGUGACAGUGUAUGCUACUUCACUGGUGACAAAUCUUAACCAUUUGGGAAUGCAUUGACAGAUAGAAUUUAAGAUUAUUUCCAGCCACCAACUGUUGGAGGUACCGAAAGAGGUUUCACAUUUUUUUUUUAAUUGUGACACAAUUUAGAACAAAACGGCUGUCUAAUGUAAUGUUUUAGUGGCAGUAAGACUAACAAUAAUCCGCAUUUUUAAGUCUGAGGGAGGGAGAGCGCACCUGUCAGCGCAGCAGCGCUGGCUCUUGGGCUUUCAGAGCCACGUUCCGCCGAUCCACCUUUACGGAUUUUUAAACAUGCUUAGAUUUUAAGGCUACUUUAAUUUCAAUGGUUGCAAAGGGUUUACAAUGUUAAUGUAUCCCUCUGAGAUCUGACAAUGUUUUUCUUUCCUUAUUUUCUCGAUUUCAGUGUGUGUCUCUGUGUCUGACAACUCUUAACCAUUUGGCAAUUUUAUUUAUUUAUUUUUAUUCUGAACAGGGCUUUAAUUUAAAUUCAACACAUAAUUUAGAAUAAAACCGCUGUCUAUUGUAGUGUUUUACAGGUGGCUAUACUAAAAAUAAUCAUGAUUUUUAAGUCUGGGAGAGGGAGAAGAGGGCAAGGCUGCCUUUCAGCGCAACAGGCUCCCUGGCUGUUUCUUUCCUUUUUUGCUGUCCAGUGUGCUGCAAAGUGUACAACGCCAUGUCUAACCACUUACGAAACGGCCACAGUGUGGCCAACCCAGAGGAGAGGAGUCUCCUUCUAAAUCUGGCGACCAGGAGGGUCAAUGUUAGGCUUUGUGCCUGUCCGGUCUCUGGGUGCUCGUACAAGAGCACCCGACUGGACAGGCACCUCCUGGGAAGCCACCCUGAGCUGGCACCGGAGGAGGUGAAGGCACACAUGGAGGCUGUCAGGAGGAGAAAGACCCUGACGUCGCUGGCGGCCUUCAGGGCAACCAACCCCACGCCUCCCAUGGCCCUGGACCUGGAGCUAUAGGAAGAGGGGGACAACGAGGUCCAAGUCCCUGAGGAUGUGCAGGAGGAGGAGGAGGAGAUGUGCUCCAAACCAGACUGCGUGCUGCAUAGACAGGCAUUAAGGACAAUGCAGCAGAAGAACAAAGACUUGGAGCAGGAGCUUGGCGACCUCAGGAGCCAAUUUAAGAAGCUCCAGAAGAGGGCCAGGCGAUUGCCAAGCAGCAGGGGCGGUGGAGGCGGCGGCUUCUGCAGCAUCUUCUGCGGUACCGUCUUCAGGAGGUAUGUCAGCACCGGCGGCAGCAGCAGCACCAGCUGCGGCAGCAGCAGUGAAGGAGGAGGAGGAGCCCUGUGACCAGCAAUCCUGGGAGGUCGGUGAUGAGGAAACUCUUUCAGGGGAGCGGCCGGACCCUUGGGAUGAGGAACCUUGUUUUCCCCAGCUCAAUUGACAAAUACCUCAAAUACCUGCUGGAAGCUGGCCAAAUCAAAGGUUCCUGAGCUGCUGGAUGAACUGAAGGAGGACAACACCCAGCAGCUCCGGUAUAGAUUUUACGGCUACUUUUCAGCCUUUGUGGCCUGCCUCUACGGUCACCGCCCGGGGGUCCUUACAAACAUGAAGGUGGCAGAGGUGCAGGCUGCUCGAAAAGACAGCAAGGACGGGGAUGAUGGUUUUGUGGUUUGUGUAGGUAUGAUGUUUUUGACUGAUGAAUGUUGGUCAUUCUCUGAUAUUUUCACAUUCUGCAUACUUUUGAGAAGAGGAUCGGGCUCGUUUGGACCGCACCUCCUCCAGAAAGAGAGCCAGGAAGGAAUCCACCGACUCCAGUUCAGAGGAGGAAGGUGAGGUCCCGUACCAGGAAUCUGAAGGUUCCAGCCUGGAGCAGGAGCUUGAGGAGAUGCGGCAGAGGAAGGCCGGAGCCGAAGGCCCACCUACACUGCCCCUACAACAGACGCCUAAGAAAUCAAACAGCCGGAACCGCUAUCGGAGGCUUAUUGUAAGCCUCAGCCCAGUUUGUGUUAAAAU
Molecule: long non-coding RNA, 2304 nt
Organism: Micropterus dolomieu (smallmouth bass)
Lineage: Eukaryota; Metazoa; Chordata; Actinopteri; Centrarchiformes; Centrarchidae
Exons: 5
Source: RefSeq, a predicted model, not a curated record